GAAAGAGAGAGAGGUACAGCAGCAGGUUCUUUCCCUGUUCCUCAAAGCAUCCUUCGGGUUGUUGGCACCGAAGAGAAUGUAAACAUUGGGUUCCUCCUGCUGGAGCACCUGCUGACAAAUUCCGUAAGGAGAAGUAUGUGAUUCCACACUAAUGUUUUGAAUCAGUUGGAGAUGUCUGCAGAGGGAUCCAUCUGUUGAGAUCUGCAAAACGAAGGUGAGUUACCUGGGUAAAAAGGAGAGAAAAUAACAUUCUAAGUAGAAGGAAAGUGUGCAAAUGCUGGUAGCAGGAGAGAGCAAGGCGAUUACCAGGGGCUGAAAGAAAGCCCGGAUGGCUGGAUGGCAAGUCCAAGGUGGUAGAGCAAGGUGAGGAG
RNAcentral lists this long non-coding RNA (371 nucleotides) under Zalophus californianus (California sea lion). RNAcentral's name for it is "lncRNA (ENSZCAG00015019213.1)". Lineage: Eukaryota; Metazoa; Chordata; Mammalia; Carnivora; Otariidae. The record is from RNAcentral.